GUCCAGGGAGAAGCUGCAGUGUGGCGGAGCACUGCUGGGCAGCAUUGUGCCGGAAGGGUGUCCGGGAGAACUGGUGCACGCCGCAGAAUCAGGGGUCAGGAAGGCAGAGCUGGUUUGCAGAAAGCAAGACUGGACACAAAGAAAACUCCAAAUAAACAGUGGUGGUGCAGAGGACAUGGUGACUUUGAAAGGUAGCAGGACAUGCAGCAAGCAGCUGGGAGCAGAGGGCUGGAGCUCAGAAGAGAUGACCACAGAAGGAAGACCUCUGGAGCUCUGCUGCUCACCUACAGACACCCAAGGAUGACAGCGGAAUCUCUCCAUUCUCACUAUAAAGGUCUGAUGGGCUGCGGCUGUGCUAUGUUGCAGUCAAGGAAGGAGAAAGAUGAUUGGUUCAACUCAGCUAGUGUUUCUCGACACAGCCAAAGUGAGCACUUACAGACUUCCCUCCCUUUUUCAGAAGGAAUCCUGUUGCAGCGGCCUUGUGACCUACAGAUCUUUACCUCCCUCCACUCUCUUGCUCCCACGUCUCAGUGGUCCCCUGGUCCCUGGCCUAAAGACCCUCACCAGCCUUGAACCUCAUCCCCUGCACUGGCUCCUUAAACUCAGCCACAGCCCCCAUUCCCAUUCUGAAAAUAUCACACUCCCAACUUCCCUCAAGUUUCUGCCUCAGGGCCCUUGCCUAUCCUGUUUCCUCAGCCCCAGAGAAUCUCUUCCCAGCUCUCUGCUGGCUCCCCUUCCCCAUCCUGCUCAGAAAGACAACCUUUGGAAGUCCCAUUUGUCCCAGCUAUUCCCCUGCUCGGUAUCUUCCCCAAAGAAUUAAAAGAAUCAUACCACAGUGAGAUAUGUGCACCCAUGUUCAUAGGAGCACAGUUUGUGAUAGCUAAAGCUUGGAAACAGCCCAAGUGCCCAUCAACUGGAGACUGGAUAAAGAAAAUGUGUUUUUUUAAUAAAAUGGAGUACUACUCAGCCAUAAAAAAUGAGAAAGUAGAGACAUUUAUAGCUAA
This 1004-nucleotide long non-coding RNA is filed under the name Heterocephalus glaber (naked mole-rat). RNAcentral describes it as "lncRNA (ENSHGLG00100035474.1)". Lineage: Eukaryota; Metazoa; Chordata; Mammalia; Rodentia; Bathyergidae. The record is from RNAcentral.